CUUAACACAUGCAAGUCGAGCGGGGAAAGGUAGCUUGCUACCUGACCUAGCGGCGGACGGGUGAGUAAUGCUUAGGAAUCUGCCUAUUAGUGGGGGACAACAUCUCGAAAGGGAUGCUAAUACCGCAUACGUCCUACGGGAGAAAGCAGGGGACCUUCGGGCCUUGCGCUAAUAGAUGAGCCUAAGUCGGAUUAGCUAGUUGGUGGGGUAAAGGCCUACCAAGGCGACGAUCUGUAGCGGGUCUGAGAGGAUGAUCCGCCACACUGGGACUGAGACACGGCCCAGACUCCUACGGGAGGCAGCAGUGGGGAAUAUUGGACAAUGGGGGGAACCCUGAUCCAGCCAUGCCGCGUGUGUGAAGAAGGCCUUUUGGUUGUAAAGCACUUUAAGCGAGGAGGAGGCUACCGAGAUUAAUACUCUUGGAUAGUGGACGUUACUCGCAGAAUAAGCACCGGCUAACUCUGUGCCAGCAGCCGCGGUAAUACAGAGGGUGCAAGCGUUAAUCGGAUUUACUGGGCGUAAAGCGCGCGUAGGUGGCCAAUUAAGUCAAAUGUGAAAUCCCCGAGCUUAACUUGGGAAUUGCAUUCGAUACUGGUUGGCUAGAGUAUGGGAGAGGAUGGUAAAAUCCAGGUGUACGGUGAAAUGCGUAAAGAUCUGGAGGAAUACCGAUUGGCGAA
This 677-nucleotide ribosomal RNA is filed under the name Acinetobacter sp. Muzt-F02. Its description in RNAcentral is "bacterial SSU rRNA". It matches the Rfam family "Bacterial small subunit ribosomal RNA", at positions 47 to 719 of the family's 1533-position model. The record is from RNAcentral. Lineage: Bacteria; Pseudomonadati; Pseudomonadota; Gammaproteobacteria; Moraxellales; Moraxellaceae.